GGCCGGCGUUUAGUGGUGUCAACUUAUUAAUUUCCAUCUUCGACUUCAGGCCUGUUAGUUUCCUGUCUGAAAGCAUUAUUACUUUUGUCCAUGUGGCAAAAUAAUUAGCAUACAGAUGAGCAGCGGCCGGGCGUCUGAGCGCCGGUGGAGGAAGAUGUGCAGUGCAAAGUUGAUUGGAUGAAUGCAGAACGAACGGUGGGCGUUCGGGAGCAUUACAAGAGUUCUGGAGUCCUGGAGCAGGGUGCGGGAUUUUCUGGAGACGCUCACGCGGGGGCCGAGGCCAAGGUGCACGCAGCGGCCGUCUGGACACCUGUGCGAUCUGCGCCGACGUCUGAGGAGCCGUCGAGUGUGAAAAUGAGCCCAAGGGAGACUUGGUGAAGUCACGUCGAGGGGCAUCUCCAACCCUGACCUCCUGAGGAAGCAGAUCGGAUCCAAGGAGCACCCAGGCGACCGA
Lontra canadensis (Northern American river otter) is the source of this 454-nucleotide long non-coding RNA. RefSeq lists it as uncharacterized. The transcript is spliced from 3 exons. NCBI's taxonomy places the organism in Eukaryota, Metazoa, Chordata, Mammalia, Carnivora, Mustelidae. The record is from RefSeq and is a predicted model, not a curated record.